UAGCUCAAGAGCAAAGGGGAGCUAAAUCCGAUAAAGGGAAGGAAAAAGUAGUUGAAUAGCCGUCGAAAUCGCUCGACAACAUCCAAGGUUUCGCUCGUUAGCUAUCGGAUUCGGGAUCAAAGAAGUCGAAGUCAUCCACACUAUCGAAGCCCCAUUUUGGUACAAAUUUUGGUUGAACUUUGAAAUGGCAUGUAUAGGACCAUCCUUUGUUGAAGGUCAUGUACCUUCCGGUUUGUGUAAACUUGAAUAGCCAUGCGAAAAUGGCUUAUAUACGUUUUUAGCAUAGAACUAUAAUCGUUUGUAUGUUGACCCUUAUGAGGUAUGGAAUUAUUUUGAAACGAUUAGCCAUUGGAAUGGUUAA
Long non-coding RNA from Gossypium arboreum, 361 nucleotides. RefSeq lists it as uncharacterized. NCBI's taxonomy places the organism in Eukaryota, Viridiplantae, Streptophyta, Magnoliopsida, Malvales, Malvaceae. The transcript is spliced from 2 exons. The record is from RefSeq and is a predicted model, not a curated record.